GGUUGGCUAGGUUAAAAAGACCGUCGGACUCAUAACCCGAAUGUAUCCUUGAGUGGUUGCUGAUCA
This is a non-coding RNA of Lingula anatina, 66 nucleotides long. NCBI's taxonomy places the organism in Eukaryota, Metazoa, Brachiopoda, Lingulata, Lingulida, Lingulidae. The record is from the annotation of a RefSeq genome assembly.